This 602-nucleotide ribosomal RNA is filed under the name marine adapted facultatively oligotrophic bacterium PAF-2. RNAcentral's name for it is "bacterial SSU rRNA". It matches the Rfam family "Bacterial small subunit ribosomal RNA", at positions 53 to 652 of the family's 1533-position model. The record is from RNAcentral. Lineage: Bacteria; Pseudomonadati; Pseudomonadota; Gammaproteobacteria.
ACAUGCAAGUCGAGCGGUAACAGAGACUAGCUUGCUACAAUGAUGACGAGCGGCGGACGGGUGAGUAAUGCUUGAGAACAUGCCUUGAGGUGGGGGACAACAGUUGGAAACGACUGCUAAUACCGCAUAAUGUCUACGGACCAAAGGGGGCUUCGGCUCUCGCCUUUAGAUUGGCCCAAGUGGGAUUAGCUAGUUGGUGAGGUAAUGGCUCACCAAGGCAACGAUCCCUAGCUGGUUGGAGAGGAUGAUCACGCCACACUGGGACUGAGACACGGCCCAGACUCCUACGGGAGGCAGCAGUGGGGAAUAUUGCACAAUGGGCGCAAGCCUGAUGCAACCAUCCCGCGUGUGUGAAGAAGGCCUUCGGGUUGUAAAGCACUUUCAGUCAGGAGGAAGGUUAGUAGUUAAUACUGCUAGCUGUGACGUUACUGACAGAAGAAGCACCGGCUAACUCCGUGCCAGCAUCCACGGUAAUACGGAGGGUGCGAGCGUUAAUCGGAAUUACUGGGCGUAAAGCGUACGCAGCGGUUUGUUAAGCGAGAUGUGAAAGCGCGGGGCUCAACCUGGGAACUGCAUUUCGAACUGGCAAAAUAGAGUGUGAU